CCUACGGGAGGCAGCAGUAGGGAAUAUUGCUCAAUGGGGGAAACCCUGAAGCAGCAACGCCGCGUGGAGGAUGAAGGUUUUCGGAUUGUAAACUCCUUUUGUUAGAGAAGAUAAUGACGGUAUCUAACGAAUAAGCACCGGCUAACUCCGUGCCAGCAGCCGCGGUAAUACGGAGGGUGCAAGCGUUACUCGGAAUCACUGGGCGUAAAGCGCGCGUAGGCGGGAUAGCAAGUCAGAUGUGAAAUCCUAUGGCUUAACCAUAGAACUGCAUUUGAAACUGUUAUUCUAGAGUAUGGGAGAGGUAGGUGGAAUGCGUGGUGUAGGGGUAAAAUCCGUAGAGAUCAAGAGGAAUACUCAUUGCGAAGGCGACCUGCUAGAACAUAACUGACGCUGAUGCGCGAAAGCGUGGGGAGCAAACAGGAUUAGAUACCCGAGUAGUC
This 440-nucleotide ribosomal RNA is filed under the name uncultured bacterium. Its description in RNAcentral is "partial 16S ribosomal RNA". It matches the Rfam family "Bacterial small subunit ribosomal RNA", at positions 338 to 795 of the family's 1533-position model. The record is from RNAcentral.